This 809-nucleotide ribosomal RNA is filed under the name Cryptosporidium sp. beaver genotype. RNAcentral describes it as "SSU rRNA". It matches the Rfam family "Eukaryotic small subunit ribosomal RNA", at positions 215 to 1071 of the family's 1831-position model. Lineage: Eukaryota; Apicomplexa; Conoidasida; Eucoccidiorida; Cryptosporidiidae. The record is from RNAcentral.
UAAAGAACCAAUAUAAUUGGUGACUCAUAAUAACUUUACGGAUCACAUAAAUUGUGACAUAUCAUUCAAGUUUCUGACCUAUCAGCUUUAGACGGUAGGGUAUUGGCCUACUGUGGCAAUGACGGGUAACGGGGAAUUAGGGUUCGAUUCCGGAGAGGGAGCCUGAGAAACGGCUACCACAUCUAAGGAAGGCAGCAGGCGCGCAAAUUACCCAAUCCUAAUACAGGGAGGUAGUGACAAGAAAUAACAAUACAGGACUUUUUGGUUUUGUAAUUGGAAUGAGUUAAGUAUAAACCCCUUUACAAGUAUCAAUUGGAGGGCAAGUCUGGUGCCAGCAGCCGCGGUAAUUCCAGCUCCAAUAGCGUAUAUUAAAGUUGUUGCAGUUAAAAAGCUCGUAGUUGGAUUUCUGUUAAUAAUUUAUAUAAAGUAUUUUGAUUAAUAUUUAUAUAAUAUUAACAUAAUUCAUAUUACUAUAUUAUUUAGUAUAUGAAAUUUUACUUUGAGAAAAUUAGAGUGCUUAAAGCAGGCAUAUGCCUUGAAUACUCCAGCAUGGAAUAAUAUUAAAGAUUUUUAUCUUUCUUAUUGGUUCUAAGAUAAGAAUAAUGAUUAAUAGGGACAGUUGGGGGCAUUUGUAUUUAACAGUCAGAGGUGAAAUUCUUAGAUUUGUUAAAGACAAACUAAUGCGAAAGCAUUUGCCAAGGAUGUUUUCAUUAAUCAAGAACGAAAGUUAGGGGAUCGAAGACGAUCAGAUACCGUCGUAGUCUUAACCAUAAACUAUGCCAACUAGAGAUUGGAGGUUGUUCCUUACU